GACGAACGCUGGCGGCGUGCUUAACACAUGCAAGUCGAGCGGAAAGGCCCUGCUUUCGUGUGGUGCUCGAGUGGCGAACGUGUGAGUAACCUGUGAGUAACCUGCCCUUGGCUUUGGGAUAACUUCAGGAAACUGGGGCUAAUACCGGCUAGGUGCUGCUGCUGCAUGGUGGGGGUUGGAAAGUUUCGGUUGUAGGGGAUGGAUUCGCGGCUUAUCAGCUUGUGGGUGGGGGAUUUGCUUACCAAGGCUUUGGCGGAUAGGCGGCAUGGGAGGGUGACCGGCCACCAUGGUACUGAGAGACGGCCCAGACUCGUACGGGGGGCAGUGGGGGAGAGUAUGGUACAAUGGGCGGACGCCUGUUACAGCAAUCUCCCGAGCGGGAUGAAGUCCAUCGUGUUGUAAAGCGCAGUCGCUUAAUACGAAGCUUGAGUGACGGUAACGGGAAAAGAAGCACCGGCUAACUACGUG
RNAcentral lists this ribosomal RNA (468 nucleotides) under uncultured bacterium. Its description in RNAcentral is "partial 16S ribosomal RNA". It matches the Rfam family "Bacterial small subunit ribosomal RNA", at positions 28 to 507 of the family's 1533-position model. The record is from RNAcentral.